UACGUAGGGUCCGAGCGUUGUCCGGAAUUAUUGGGCGUAAAGAGCUCGUAGGCGGUUUGUCGCGUCUGCUGUGAAAUCCCGAGGCUCAACCUCGGGUCUGCAGUGGGUACGGGCAGACUGGAGUGCGGUAGGGGAGAAUGGAAUUCCUGGUGUAGCGGUGAAAUGCGCAGAUAUCAGGAGGAACACCGGUGGCGAAGGCGGGUCUCUGGGCCGUAACUGACGCUGAGGAGCGAAAGCAUGGGGAGCGAACAGG
RNAcentral lists this ribosomal RNA (253 nucleotides) under uncultured bacterium. RNAcentral's name for it is "partial 16S ribosomal RNA". It matches the Rfam family "Bacterial small subunit ribosomal RNA", at positions 524 to 776 of the family's 1533-position model. The record is from RNAcentral.